Long non-coding RNA from Lampris incognitus (smalleye Pacific opah), 210 nucleotides. RefSeq lists it as uncharacterized. The transcript has 3 exons. The record is from RefSeq and is a predicted model, not a curated record. NCBI's taxonomy places the organism in Eukaryota, Metazoa, Chordata, Actinopteri, Lampriformes, Lampridae.
CAACAGGGUGCUGGUGACACAGGCGGGCCACAAAAUCGGCAGGAAACAGCCAUUAAACCAAAUGGUCCAUGGACCUGACCUCAGACUUGACCCGUGUGAUUGUAAGCAAACUCAUUCAGCGAGGUAGAUUCGAAUACAACAUGAAGGCCCGGGGCUCAAAUCGAGGAACAAAGAAUGACAAGAGAGAGCUUCAACACGGUCAAACAAAAU